This 253-nucleotide ribosomal RNA is filed under the name uncultured bacterium. Its description in RNAcentral is "partial 16S ribosomal RNA". It matches the Rfam family "Bacterial small subunit ribosomal RNA", at positions 524 to 776 of the family's 1533-position model. The record is from RNAcentral.
UACGAAGGGGGCUAGCGUUGCUCGGAAUCACUGGGCGUAAAGCGCACGUAGGCGGAUUGCUAAGUCAGGGGUGAAAUCCUGGAGCUCAACUCCAGAACUGCCUUUGAUACUGGCGACCUUGAGUCCGGGAGAGGUGAGUGGAACUGCGAGUGUAGAGGUGAAAUUCGUAGAUAUUUGCAAGAACACCAGUGGCGAAGGCGGCUCACUGGCCCGGUAUUGACGCUGAGGAGCGAAAGCCAGGGGAGCAAACGGG